This 253-nucleotide ribosomal RNA is filed under the name uncultured bacterium. RNAcentral's name for it is "partial 16S ribosomal RNA". It matches the Rfam family "Bacterial small subunit ribosomal RNA", at positions 524 to 776 of the family's 1533-position model. The record is from RNAcentral.
UACGAAGGGUGCAAGCGUUACUCGGAAUUACUGGGCGUAAAGCGUGCGUAGGUGGUUUGUUAAGUCUGAUGUGAAAGCCCUGGGCUCAACCUGGGAAUUGCAUUGGAUACUGGCAGGCUAGAGUGCGGUAGAGGAUGGCGGAAUUCCCGGUGUAGCAGUGAAAUGCGUAGAGAUCGGGAGGAACAUCUGUGGCGAAAGCGGCUCACUGGACCACAACUGACGCUGAGGCGCGAAAGCUAGGGGAGCAAACAGG